This 492-nucleotide ribosomal RNA is filed under the name uncultured bacterium. RNAcentral's name for it is "partial 16S ribosomal RNA". It matches the Rfam family "Bacterial small subunit ribosomal RNA", at positions 29 to 507 of the family's 1533-position model. The record is from RNAcentral.
AGUGAACGCUGGCGGUAGGCCUAACACAUGCAAGUCGAACGGCAGCACAGUAAGAGCUUGCUCUUACGGGUGGCGAGUGGCGGACGGGUGAGGAAUACAUCGGAAUCUACUUUUUCGUGGGGGAUAACGUAGGGAAACUUACGCUAAUACCGCAUACGACCUACGGGUGAAAGCAGGGGAUCUUCGGACCCUGCGCGAUUGAAUGAGCCGAUGUCGGAUUAGCUAGUUGGCGGGGUAAAGGCCCACCAAGGCGACGAUCCGUAGCUGGUCUGAGAGGAUGAUCAGCCACACUGGAACGGAGACACGGUCCAGACUCCUCCGGGAGGCAGCAGUGGGGAAUAUUGGACAAUGGGCGCAAGCCUGAUCCAGCCAUCCCGCGUGGGUGAAGAAGGCCUUCGGGUUGUAAAGCCCUUUUGUUGGGAAAGAAAAGCAGCAGGUUAAUACCCCGCUGUUCUGACGGUACCCAAAGAAUAAGCACCGGCUAACUUCGUG